RNAcentral lists this transfer RNA (72 nucleotides) under Sus scrofa (pig). It matches the Rfam family "tRNA". Rfam says of the family: Transfer RNA (tRNA) molecules are approximately 80 nucleotides in length. Their secondary structure includes four short double-helical elements and three loops (D, anti-codon, and T loops). Lineage: Eukaryota; Metazoa; Chordata; Mammalia; Artiodactyla; Suidae. The record is from Rfam by way of RNAcentral.
CCCCUGGUGGUCUAGUGGUUAGGACUCUACAUUUUCACCACUACAGCCCAGGUUCGAUCCCUGGUCAGGGAA